This 1192-nucleotide long non-coding RNA is filed under the name Callithrix jacchus (white-tufted-ear marmoset). Its description in RNAcentral is "lncRNA (ENSCJAG00000080515.1)". The record is from RNAcentral. Lineage: Eukaryota; Metazoa; Chordata; Mammalia; Primates; Cebidae.
AGUGACCUUGAUCAUACCACCAAGAAGCAGAACAUCAAGGGGAGAAAGAUGGAGUCUCACUCUGUUGCCUAGGCUGGAACGCAAUAGUGCAAUUUCAGCUCACUGCAGCCUCUGCCUCCCAGGUUCAAGCAAUUCUCCUGCCUUAGCCUCCUGAGUACCUGAGACUACAGGUGUCUAUGCAUUUGAAGAAGCAGUCAUCCCCUCCAAAAUUCAUGAACUGACUUUUUAGAGUAAAGACCUUCACCUGCAGUGGGUUAGACAUACUGGAAUGCGUGAGGUACCAAACAAAGGGGCAUAUGGUGACUGUGGGCCUCAGUGUGCGUGGCGUCCCAUUGACUCAGAUAGCUGGGGUUGGCAACCUCAGAAACUAUGUGGUCCUUGGCGAUGAGAGCUGAAGAAGGCCCAUGGUCACUGUGAGGUGCUUCUUCAAGUUGGCAAAGUUUCACUCUCUACCAAACAUGAAAAAGACAAAAGUGGUAGAAAAAGACCCAAAGGAGGAAUGUGAGAUUGCAGAAUACAAAACAGACUGGUUCAAGAUGGGAGAGGAGAGAAAACCCAGAAAACUACAUGAGGAGGGAUUUGAAGAACUAAAAACAGAGAACAGGAUGGCAAACUCAAGGCAAAAUCCAGGAUCCUGGAGGAGCUGAUGUGGCUGAAGGAGCUGAAGCCCCCACCGGAGCCAAAGUUAGAUUGGAAGGAGUCCAGGCCAUGGCUGAGGCCAGAGCUUGUGAGCUCAGCUCACCUGAGUAGCCUCUGGUGGUCUUCUUGUGGAUAUUCAUGUACCGCAUUCCAGACUCCAGCCAGCUCUCCUUGCCCUCCAGCAGCAUCCUGUAGGUGGUGAUCUCGAUGUCCAGGACCACCCAGACCUUCUUCAGUUCCUGGUACCCUCACAGCUGUAGGGCACGUCCUUCCUGGCUCAUUUCAGAGAGCCUCCAGCUCCACCAGCUUCGCACUGGCGUCCUUAACGACCAUCUCCCCACACUGCAAGGUCUCCACGACAGCAGCCUCCAGGAAAUUCUCUGACCUCUGAGCCCCUCUGUCUCAGCCCACAGCUGGCUGAUGUUCUAGUUUGUCUCAGAGAUCUUCGAAUGCCACAGAUCAUCCCGAUGCUCCCCAGCCAGCGUCUGCAGCUCCUCACACUUGAUCUGGUGCAAGCUCUCAGUCUCACUGAGCUGUGGCUGGCCAUCUCUGC